Molecule: long non-coding RNA, 374 nt
Organism: Xenia sp. Carnegie-2017
Lineage: Eukaryota; Metazoa; Cnidaria; Anthozoa; Malacalcyonacea; Xeniidae
Exons: 3
Source: RefSeq, a predicted model, not a curated record
AGCCAUGUGAAGUCGUGGAAAGAAAAGGUUCAAUGGUAACAGCGAAGAAAGAUAGAAUGUUAUUUACUCGUAAUUCGUCAUUUUUCAAGAAGAUAGAAAAUGGGAAAAGUCUAGGAGAACCCAUUGAGGAAAGUAUAAAGGAAAAAGAACGGCGGUAUCCUUUGCGUACAAGAAAAGCCCCUAUUCAAUACGGACAAGUUGAAAGUUAAUUUAGAGAUAAAAGUUAUUUAGCUAUAAAAGAAACAAUUAAUAUUUUCAUAAACGAACUUAUAGAUACAAAAUACAAAAAAUAUAUUUAAUUAGUUUGGGGAGAGGUGUAGUAUAGUUAUUAUGCAAAUUAUUAGUAUUUCGUACUUUGCGUUGUAUCACUGCUU